CUGACCGAUAGUGAACCAGUACCGUGAGGGAAAGGCGAAAAGAACCCCGGCGAGGGGAGUGAAAAAGAACCUGAAACCGUGUACGUACAAGCAGUGGGAGCACGCUUCGGCGUGUGACUGCGUACCUUUUGUAUAAUGGGUCAGCGACUUAUAUUCUGUAGCAAGGUUAACCGAAUAGGGGAGCCGAAGGGAAACCGAGUCUUAACUGGGCGUUAAGUUGCAGGGUAUAGACCCGAAACCCGGUGAUCUAGCCAUGGGCAGGUUGAAGGUUGGGUAACACUAACUGGAGGACCGAACCGACUAAUGUUGAAAAAUUAGCGGAUGACUUGUGGCUGGGGGUGAAAGGCCAAUCAAACCGGGAGAUAGCUGGUUCUCCCCGAAAGCU
This 385-nucleotide ribosomal RNA is filed under the name Escherichia coli. RNAcentral describes it as "partial 23S ribosomal RNA". It matches the Rfam family "Bacterial large subunit ribosomal RNA", at positions 480 to 867 of the family's 2925-position model. Lineage: Bacteria; Pseudomonadati; Pseudomonadota; Gammaproteobacteria; Enterobacterales; Enterobacteriaceae. The record is from RNAcentral.